Molecule: long non-coding RNA, 697 nt
Filed under: Ananas comosus (pineapple)
Lineage: Eukaryota; Viridiplantae; Streptophyta; Magnoliopsida; Poales; Bromeliaceae
Description: long non-coding RNA (ACOM_LNC016349)
Source: RNAcentral
ACCGCUACAAAUCACUAUACUAUCAUGCUCUACACUAACCAACUGUAGGAAAUGUCAAAUCUGACCCAAUCCAAUCGGGACUGUAGACAUACCCGUCCCUGGGACUGUGAACACACCCGUCCCUGCCCCGUUGCGACUAUCGGGCUCUAUCCACACUAACUGGUCCGUGGAGAGCAAGUCCAACUGGCAUGAGCGACACCAACGCGAAAGCACAAAGCCUGACUCCGGAGUGGCACUCUUGGGCGCUACCCAACCGAGUAUGCAGCGUAUCUCUGUCGAGCUCAAUCAGGCUCCAACUAGCCAAAGUCAAGUGAACAGGGUCAAAACAGGUCUACAAACCAAACCCACGUGCCCUCGGCACAAUCUAUGACCAAAAUAAGAAUCUGGGUCCACCGCUAACCCGAACGGCACCCAACGACCCGAAACAGCCUAAACUCUGCUGAAAAAUAAGCUCGGCACCCCAGCACGAGCGUAAAUGCCUUCUAAACUACCCCAGGUAUCCAUCGCACUGAUACUGCAACGAUACAAUCGAACCACGGCUCCUAGAGCUAAAUCUGGUAGUUUAAGCAUAUGACGGGUCAAAACGCAGAUUUUCUGCUAAGUCAAAUUUCAAGUCCAACAUGUAUAAUAUAAAUAUUCAUUUCAGCAUGCUUCUACAUUCAUAUUACAUUCAAGAUGCCAAUCGAUGAAUUAAAGC